This 405-nucleotide ribosomal RNA is filed under the name uncultured bacterium. RNAcentral describes it as "bacterial SSU rRNA". It matches the Rfam family "Bacterial small subunit ribosomal RNA", at positions 357 to 776 of the family's 1533-position model. The record is from RNAcentral.
GGGAAUAUUGGUCAAUGGAGGAAACUCUGAACCAGCAACGCCGCGUGAAUGAUGAAGGUCUUCGGAUUGUAAAGUUCUUUUCUAAGGGAAGAAGAUAGUGACGGUACCUUAGGAAUAAGCCUCGGCUAACUACGUGCCAGCAGCCGCGGUAAUACGUAGGAGGCAAGCGUUAUCCGGAAUGACUGGGCGUAAAGGGUGCGUAGGUGGUUUGGCAAGUUAGUAGCGUAACCCCGGGGCUCAACCUCGGAACUACUACUAAAACUGUCGGACUUGAGUGCAGGAGGGGCAAUUGGAAUUCCUAGUGUAGCGGUGGAAUGCGUAGAUAUUAGGAGGAACACCAGUGGCGAAGGCGAAUUGCUGGACUGUAACUGACACUGAGGCACGAAAGCGUGGGGAGCAAACAGG